UACGAAGGGGGCUAGCGUUGCUCGGAAUUACUGGGCGUAAAGCGCACGUAGGCGGAUUGUUAAGUCGGGGGUGAAAUCCUGGAGCUCAACUCCAGAACUGCCUUCGAUACUGGCGAUCUCGAGUUCGGGAGAGGUGAGUGGAACUGCGAGUGUAGAGGUGAAGUUCGUAGAUAUUCGGAAGAACACCAGUGGCGAAGGCGACUUACUGGACGAUUGUUGACGCUGAGGUGCGAAAGCGUGGGGAGCAAACAGG
RNAcentral lists this ribosomal RNA (253 nucleotides) under uncultured bacterium. RNAcentral describes it as "partial 16S ribosomal RNA". It matches the Rfam family "Bacterial small subunit ribosomal RNA", at positions 524 to 776 of the family's 1533-position model. The record is from RNAcentral.